GACGAACGCUGGCGGCGUGCUUAACACAUGCAAGUCGAACGGAAAGGCCCUGCUUUUGUGGGGUGCUCGAGUGGCGAACGGGUGAGUAACACGUGAGUAACCUGCCCUUGACUUUGGGAUAACUUCAGGAAACUGGGGCUAAUACCGGAUAGGAGCUCCUGCUGCAUGGUGGGGGUUGGAAAGUUUCGGCGGUUGGGGAUGGACUCGCGGCUUAUCAGCUUGUUGGUGGGGUAGUGGUUUACCAAGGCUUUGACGGGUAGCCGGCCUGAGAGGGUGACCGGCCACAUUGGGCCUGAGAUACGGCCCAGACGCCAACGGGAGGCAGCAGUGGGGAAUAUGGCACAAUGGGCGGAAGCCUGAUGCAGCAACGCCGCGUUCGGGAUGACGGCCUUCGGGUUGUAAACCGCUUUCGCCUGUGACGAAGCGUGAGUGACGGUAAUGGGUAAAGAAGCACCGGCUAACUACGUG
Molecule: ribosomal RNA, 468 nt
Filed under: uncultured bacterium
Lineage: Bacteria
Description: partial 16S ribosomal RNA
Rfam family: Bacterial small subunit ribosomal RNA
Source: RNAcentral